This 484-nucleotide ribosomal RNA is filed under the name uncultured bacterium. Its description in RNAcentral is "bacterial SSU rRNA". It matches the Rfam family "Bacterial small subunit ribosomal RNA", at positions 28 to 490 of the family's 1533-position model. The record is from RNAcentral.
GAUGAACGCUAGCGGCAGGCCUAAUACAUGCAAGUUGAACGGGCAUUAGUCUUCGGAUUAGUGCUAGUGGCGAACGGGUGCGUAACACGUAGGUAACCUGCCUUCGAGAAGGGGAUAACAUGCCGAAAGGCGUGCUAAUACCAUAUAAUGUCUCCGAAACUACGGUUUGGCGAUCAACGGAUGGCCUCUAUUUAUAAGCUAUCGCUCGAAGAUGGGCCUGCGCACCAUUAGCUAGUUGGCGGGGUAACGGCCCACCAAGGCAUCGAUCAGUAGCCGGCCUGAGAGGGUGAUCGGCCACACUGGAACUGAGACACGGUCCAGACUCCUACGGGAGGCAGCAGUGGGGAAUUUUGCGCAAUGGGCGAGAGCCUGACGCAGCAACGCCGCGUGGGUGAUGAAGGUCUUCGGAUCGUAAAACCCUGUCGUCAGGGACGAAGGUUGCGAGUUUAAGAGAUGCGCAACUUGACGGUACCUGGAGAGGAAG